AGGACGAACGCUGGCGGCGUGCUUAACACAUGCAAGUGGAGCGACGAACCAGGGCUUGCCCUGGGGCAGAGCCGCGAACGGGUGAGUAACACGUGGGUUACCUGCCUCGAUGACCGGGACAACCCGAGGAAACUCGGGCUAAUACCGGAUGUGCCCGUAAGGGGAAAGGAAGCUUAGGCCUCCGCAUCGAGAUGGGCCCGCGGCCCAUUAGCUUGUUGGUGAGGUAACGGCUCACCAAGGCUGCGAUGGGUAGCUGGUCUGAGAGGACGAUCAGCCACACUGGGACUGAGACACGGCCCAGACUCCUACGGGAGGCAGCAGUGGGGAAUCUUGCGCAAUGCGCGAAAGCGUGACGCAGCAACGCCGCGUGGGGGAAGAAGGCUUUCGGGUUGUAAACCCUUUCAGUUGGGACGAAGCUUCGCCGGUGAAUAGCCGGCUGGAGUGACGGUACCUUCACAAGAAGCACCGGCUAACUACGUGCCAGCAGCCGCGGU
This 494-nucleotide ribosomal RNA is filed under the name uncultured bacterium. Its description in RNAcentral is "SSU rRNA". It matches the Rfam family "Bacterial small subunit ribosomal RNA", at positions 26 to 521 of the family's 1533-position model. The record is from RNAcentral.